Triticum dicoccoides is the source of this 3000-nucleotide long non-coding RNA. RefSeq lists it as uncharacterized. Lineage: Eukaryota; Viridiplantae; Streptophyta; Magnoliopsida; Poales; Poaceae. The record is from RefSeq and is a predicted model, not a curated record. The transcript is spliced from 6 exons.
AAAAUAGGUGAAGGGGGGCUGCCUUUGCGCCUACCAUGGAGCAAUGUCUGCAUGAAAUUUUUGGCCAAUCCCCUCCGCGUGUUUCGCAGCCAAUCCUAUCCUCCCCUCGGUCUCGUACCAGUCGCCGCACAAACCCUAGCCCCCAUUCCCCUCGAUCCCCAUAGUCUCUCCGCCUCCUCGUCCCGUCACCACGUCCUCCGCCAUGGAGCCUCUCCGCCGCGUGCGUCACCCUUCUCCACCAUACUGCCCUUCCACCUCGCCUUCCUUCUCUUCUCUCACUCGCGGCGGGGACGGAGGUGACUCGAGGCGGCGGCCAGGGUGACUCCACGCGGCGGCUAGCGAAUCCAGGCGGUAGUGGCGGUGAGGCCAUGCGGGCGCCGUCAACCCAAUAUGUUGCCCUGGUCCUGUGGUGGGCGGCCGGGUCAGCGGGUCGGAGCGGGGGCAGUAGGCCGUGGGAAGUCAGCGCCUCCACCCUUCCUCCUCCCCUAGCCCAUUCCCCAAUCAACACAGCCGCCACGCCAAUCCCACCUCCUACCUCCUCCCUCCCGCGUCACCAUAGCCGUCGGUCCCCUCCCUCCAGAUCCAUCUUCUCUCCCUUGUUAGCCGCCGCUGCACGAACCGCGCCAAUCUUUGGGCGCGGCAGGGGCUGAUGGAGUGGCGGAUCCGGGCAUGCUCCCACCCUUAGGUACUCCACGAUGACGGCCAGUUCGGAGGGAGAAGGUAGAAAGCAAUGGCGAGUCCUGCGCCUCUGGGUGGAAGCAGCGGGGUUGGUCGAGCAGGGGAUGUGGUCGGGGUCAGCAGUUGAAGGAGGCUCGCCGGCCGGAGCAGCAGGAGGUGAUUCAGGAGCGCCUCGAGGAGUGGAAGGGAGAGGUCGUGCAGGACAGGCCAACAAGAGCAAUAGAGCAAGGAGGAUAAAAUAUUCGAUCAGCCCUAUAUCUUCUUCUCGAUGCAGCUCCGCAUGAGGAGUCAUGCUAGGUAUCCUGGGGUGAUUCAAGAUGCUUAGGUGUAUCACACUGCAUGGUACACAUGCCAUUUUUGCAGGCUGCUCUGAGAUACACUGAUUUAGAUACGACCACAUGUCUGCAGCAAUUUCUUACUCUUGGUAUAAAGACCAACUCAUGGUGUGGGAAGCAUCUCAUAUGGUUCACCGAAUCAAUUGAUGAAUCUGAAGCGAUUCAAGAGGAGGAGCAAAAACUGGUUAUGCCUAUAGUGAAACGGAAGGCCAUGAACAAUGCGUCUCCGGGAAGUGAAUUUUAUGGUGCCUUGCAUUCUGCUCAUUUGGCGCAAUUGUUCAUCACAAAGUGGAGGGGAGAAGUCUGGCUGCUACUGAUGGGAAAUGGGUGCCUCUCCAGUCAACCGAGCAAUGACAAAUCCAACUGGAAAGGGCUCUGUGGUGAUCUUCAUGUUAUCAGUAAAUCUCAACACAUGGUGUUCCCUUCUUGAUUCCAGCUGGAAAGGAAGCCAUGCGUCGGCGUACGUCAAUGAUUCGGGUGCCUGCGGCAUGACGACAUUGCAGAAGCACGCAUCGUUCUUCGACGGCAAACAAGGAUGCAUUUGUUUUCCAUUCAGUUUCUUUUUGUUCCCUACGCUUUUUCUCAGAGAGAUUUCUCUAAGUGAUUCUCCGUUUGGUGUUCGUUGAUUCUGUCUCACGUACAAUUUAUCCUCCUUGCAUAUCAGCGUUUUGGGCCCUCGGAUUUGGAUUUGCAGCCUCCACAAUGAGUGCCACCUUCAUCAAUGGCGUCCUUGGCCCCCAGAUAAAACCGGUAAUCCUUCGACAACAAAAUCAUACGUCUUUGUCUAUAGGAGUUAUUUUCUCUAUUGGAGUUGAGAAGGAUGACAUAGCGAAGGAGGAUUCCGACAUGGUAGCUCCCACAAUCACGCAGUUGGAGAGCAUGCGCGAGUUCGGUAAACUAUGUAUUCUAUUGGUAUAGCUCUGAAAGGUUAGGAUGCUUUGGGUCGCGGCCUGAACUAUGUAUCUGUGGAUAUUAUUACACUUUCAGCAUGCUAUUUCCUAUUCUUUUGACAUCAGUUUCUGUGAAUUAUGGCUGAACUAUGAUACUUUAGGUUGCAUGCUCAACUAAGUGUAGUGUCAUUACCGCUUUCUCCCCUGAUUGUAUUGUCCUUGCCAUGUUAUCCCCUAAAGGCUUACUCUUGCCAUGUUAUUCCCUAAAUUAUUACUCAUUUCUUCUUUUGCCAGUGCUCCGCUUAUGCAUCAUGUAUUUAGUAGUACCAAAAAACGAGGUAUGCUUCUUUACAUUAAACAGUCUUUCCUUCUCAGUAUAUAUGGAAGUAUAUGGGAUGGCUUCCAUAGAAUACUAGUGUCUGUACUAUAUACUAGAUGAAAAUAAUUUCCUUGCAUGCGAACAUAUGCUAAUUAGUAGCUGCACUACAUUCCUGAAGCUUUUUUUGAACUAUUGGGAAACAUGAGAAAGUUGUUACACAGAAGUAUAUAGUUCUUGUUUCUAUUUCAAACAAAACAAAGGCUAAAAGUUGCUACUUCUGUAGUACUCCUAUAUACAACAAUUAGUGUUCAGCUAGACUGUCAAUCUUACAGCUUGUUACUAACCGCUACCUCUGUAGGCUUAUGCCAGCGCUGGUGAAAAAGCACCUGCGGUUGGGAAGAAAGCAAAGCUGUAGCUAUCAUGCACCAUCCAUGCAUGCAAUUAGUUUACAAAAACAAUUAGAAAUUGUGAUUCUAAUCAGAUUCAUUGUAUUACUGGAUCUUUUGCAUAUCACAAUCUCCUUGCUGACAUCAGGUGAAGUUGUGGUCCAGGAGAAGAAUGAAGAUUUUAUAGCUCUAGCUUCCCCCUUCAGAUAGUCAUGCUCUCCUCCUGGUUUAACAUCCAGUUGUAGUGUGAUAGCUUUGGCACACUUUCAUGUAAUAUAGAUCUCGCAUAUUUUAUCUGUCUACUUGUUUUAUGAGGAAACAACUCGACUAAUGGUUAAUGAUCGGGUGUUGAGAACAAAAGUAGGUGGAAUGCUCAUUGAUCAUUAACUGUC